Molecule: long non-coding RNA, 786 nt
Filed under: Sus scrofa (pig)
Lineage: Eukaryota; Metazoa; Chordata; Mammalia; Artiodactyla; Suidae
Description: lncRNA (ENSSSCG00055005485.1, ENSSSCG00070002493.1)
Source: RNAcentral
AUGGCUGCUCUCCUGGUCCUCUCCUCUGACAUUUUCUGGAUGUGUGAAAUCUCCAGCUGCAGUUCUAUCUUCCACAUCCUGAACCAGAACAACCUUGUGCUGACCUGGAUGACUCAGCUGGAACAUGGCAAAAAACCACUCAGAACUUUGAAUCUGUGCUGGCUUCAUUUGAUCAAGAAUACUCUAGAAAAAGAAGAGGAGGCAGAAGAAUAACUAUAAAGGAGGAAGCAUUAUACAUUUUCUUAAGCACCUAUAAUGUGCCAGAUGUUCUUCGAGAUGCUGGGGCUACAGUGGUAAGCAAGUGCUAUCUCUGUGGAGUUCACAUGUUAAUAGAAGGAAAAAGUGUUUUUAAUGUGCUUAUUAUCUAAAAUAUUUUCAAGUACCGAAGUGCGUAUUAUCUAAAAUAUUUUCAAGUACUGACAAAUACUAUGAAGAGGCUAAAAGAGGAUAAUGUGGUAAAGCAUGACUAGUAUGAAGAAGUUCCCUCUGAAAGGUGACAUUCAAGGAGUUCCUGUUGUGGCACAGUGGAAGCAAAUCCAACUAGGAACCAUGAGAUUUCAGGUUCAAUCCCUGGCCUCUCUCAGUGGGUUAAGGAGCCAUUGUUGCCAUGAGUUGUGGUAUAGGUCACAGACACGGCUUAGAUCUAACAUUGCUGUGGCUGUGGUGUAGGCCCAAGGCUGUAGCUCUGAUUCAACCCCUAGCCUGGGAACCUCCAUAUGCCGUGGGCGAGGCCCUCAAAAGACAAAAGACUAAAUAAAUACAUAAAUAAAUGGAUAAAAGGUGACA